This 256-nucleotide long non-coding RNA is filed under the name Aquilegia coerulea. RNAcentral describes it as "long non-coding RNA (ACOE_LNC001615)". The record is from RNAcentral. Lineage: Eukaryota; Viridiplantae; Streptophyta; Magnoliopsida; Ranunculales; Ranunculaceae.
AUUUUAUGCUUGAACAACUGAGAACUUAUGAUUGUCCUAUUUUGGCUUGGCGAUUCAGAGAAGGAGAAAUCUCAAGCUCUAGUUUACACUUUACAACAUCCAAAUUACAACUGAACAAAUUGGCAUGUUAUUUACAAAACUCUUCCUUUUCUCUUCGAACAAAGUAGUUUCUACAUUUUUUUUUCUUUUGAAAAACUAGCACCUAAAUCAUAACCGAUAUCUUAUACAGUAAAAUGGCAAAAACCCAAUACAAAGU